Molecule: unclassified non-coding RNA, 240 nt
Filed under: soil metagenome
Description: partial contains 5.8S ribosomal RNA, internal transcribed spacer 2, and large subunit ribosomal RNA
Source: RNAcentral
AACGCACGAGACCUGCGGACCUGCGGAGGGAUCACUAAUGAGAAGCUGCCCCUCGUGGGUAGACCUCCCACCCUCUGUGAACUUACCUUUGUUGCUUUGGCAGGCCCGUCCUCUGGACCGCCGGCUUCGGCUGGCCCGUGCCUGCCAGAGGAUUCCAAACCCUGUCUGUCAGUGUUGUCUGAGUCUAUAUGAAAUCGUUAAAACUUUCAACAAUGGAUCUCUAGAUCGGAAGAGCACACG